Molecule: ribosomal RNA, 492 nt
Filed under: uncultured bacterium
Lineage: Bacteria
Description: partial 16S ribosomal RNA
Rfam family: Bacterial small subunit ribosomal RNA
Source: RNAcentral
AGUGAACGCUGGCGGUAGGCCUAACACAUGCAAGUCGAACGGCAGCACAGUAAGAGCUUGCUCUUACGGGUGGCGAGUGGCGGACGGGUGAGGAAUACAUCGGAAUCUACUUUUUCGUGGGGGAUAACGUAGGGAAACUUACGCUAAUACCGCAUACGACCUACGGGUGAAAGCAGGGGAUCUUCGGACCUUGCGCGAUUGAAUGAGCCGAUGUCGGAUUAGCUAGUUGGCAGGGUAAAGGCCCACCAAGGCGACGAUCCGUAGCUGGUCUGAGAGGAUGAUCAGCCACACUGGAACUGAGACACGGUCCAGACUCCUACGGGAGGCAGCAGUGGGGAAUAUUGGACAAUGGGCGCAAGCCUGAUCCAGCCAUGCCGCGUGGGUGAAGAAGGCUUUCGGGUUGUAAAGCCCUUUUGUUGGGAAAGAAAAGCAGCAGGUUAAUACCCCGCUGUUCUGACGGUACCCAAAGAAUAAGCACCGGCUAACUUCGUG